This is a non-coding RNA of Cucurbita pepo subsp. pepo (vegetable marrow), 1598 nucleotides long. Lineage: Eukaryota; Viridiplantae; Streptophyta; Magnoliopsida; Cucurbitales; Cucurbitaceae. The record is from RefSeq and is a predicted model, not a curated record.
UAUGCGUCCAGGGCGAGGUUGAUCUAGGGUUCGUCGGCUGAGUGGGCGAUCUCCUUUAUCCUUGAGGUUUAGCGCUUCUUGAAAUUUUUUACUUGCUUAAUUAACAUUUGCACGACGCACCCCGGGCUACUCUGAUUAUCUCCAUGACGGUGAUAGCCCCAUUGCUCGUGCUAGAGUGCUGCCGUUUAGUGUUGCAGCUUGUUUUCUGCAGAUAAAGCAUAUGAAAAUGAAGCUAGUCAUAGAGGCCGAGAUCUAAUCUUCGGCGGUGUUCACGUGGGGGCCUAUCUUUUCAAUGUUUGUGCCUCUAAAAACUUCCGCUAUAUUUAUCUUUUUAUCCCAAUUUGAAUCGACUUUCUGGUUUGUAGCUCUGUUUCUUAUUUCAAAGUUUCGUUAUUUGGGUGAUAGAUAAGAGUUGUUGGCUAUGAUUACACAUUAUCCGCGCUUCCGAGGUUAAACGAUGAAGCAAACAUAAAAACUAAUGGUUGAAUUUCUUAAUAUGAGCCACAUUUCUUCUAUCAUUAUUUUUUUUUCGCUAAUUUAGUUACUUUUUUCAAAUCUGGCCGUGAUGAUCGAACUUCAGCUUAUAUGCCAGUUCUGCUUCAGAAUUUGAUGAUUGAUAAAGCUGUUACAUAUUAUCUGAGCCUUAAAUUUUACUAUCAAUAUUUUUACUAUCGUCCACUUAUAGGUUAUAGUUUAUGUAUUAAUCCAUUUGUGAAUAUAAUUUUUCCAAUGAUGAUAUAAUCCGUUUGUCGGAGACAUUGUGGAUCCAAGACCCUGUUUCAGGGAGAACCUACUUGGUGAAACCUUGUUCAUAUGAUAUUAAUGGAUUUAACUGAGGGUUCACCACAAUUUUAGAUAAUAUAGUUUAAUGCACAUUUUUUUACCCAUUUCGUGUUGAAAUCAUUUGAUAUUAGAGUUUUUUUAUUUGAUUUUAGCCUUUGAUGAUACAAUCCAACUUUCUGAGAUGUUGUGAAGCCAAGACCCUGUUUCAGGGAGAACCUACUUGGUGGAAUAACAUUUGUACGAGUUAUAUGGAUUUCGCUGAGGCUUAUUUUUAGUCAUAUUUAAUUUUAAUCUUGAUUCAAAUUUUUGUUUAUUUUACCAUUUUUAUUACUUGAAUACUCACUUUGUUUAGCAUGUUUCCUUGAUUUGAGUUUAACUAUACACAUCCCUUUUAUAAUGUGGGAAUGUAGUCUGAAAAACUCGGAAAUUGUGUGUUGUCAUCAGCUUCUUCUCGCCAAAUUAGGAGGUCGGAGUUAAAUAACAGCACUAAAUUCACCAAACCAUUGUAUUCGAUUUUUCAUUUGUUUGCAGGCUUAAUGUGUUCUCGUUAUUGUCUUUGUUUUGUUUGUUUGUCUUUGUGUUCUUCUGCAGAUUCAGUUCAAUGCGUGGCAGUUAUGGGAUGUUGUUAGUCGCAAAAAAGAAAUCGCCUGUUGUAUCGUAUUCGAAUUUGUAUUUGUAGUUCAUGUUUCUUUGUAGUCUUUCUCGACAGUAAUUUCAACUCCAAAUUGCUAAUUGGCCCAUGUUUCUUUAUCCCAGAUGUCACAGUGAUAUUGAUAUUGUAUUCUUGUUAAUACUAAGAUUAAAUUUGUUCUCUA